GUCGUGAGAUGUUGGGUUAAGUCCCGCAACGAGCGCAACCCUUGUCCCUAGUUGCUACGCAAGGGCACUCUAGGGAGACUGCCGGUGACAAACCGGAGGAAGGUGGGGAUGACGUCAAGUCCUCAUGGCCCUUAUGGGUAGGGCUUCACACGUCAUACAAUGGCCGGUACAGAGGGUUGCCAAAGCGCGAGCUGGAGCCAAUCCCCAUAAAAGCCGGUCGUAGUCCGGAUUGCAGUCUGCAACUCGACUGCAUGAAGUCGGAAUCGCUAGUAAUCGCGGAUCAGCAUGUCGCGGUGAAUACGUUCCCGGGUCUUGUACACACCGCCCGUCACACCAUGGGAGCGGGAUGUACCAGAAGUAGGUAGGCUAACCGCAAGGGGGCCGCUUACCACGGUGCGUUUCGUGACUGGGGUGAAGUCGUAACAAGGUAGCCGUAUCGGAAGGUGCGGCUGGAUCACCUCCUUUCUCGGAGUCAGGGAGCAAGGAUCGGCCAAGGGCUCAGCAAUGAGACCGAAGCCGGUAAUUACCUCCCCAACGUCCAGCACUUCAAGUGCUCACGCUUAUCGGUUGUUCAUCAGGUGUUGACCUGAAUCGGGCCUGUAGCUCAGUUGGUUAGAGCACCGUCUUGAUAAGGCGGGGGUCGAUGGUUCGAAUCCAUCCAGACCCACCACCUCCAAGGUCGCGAAGCCAAGAGCAAUCAAGGGUGGCCUUAAGCGAGGGGGCUGUAGCUCAGCUGGGAGAGCACCUGCUUUGCAAGCAGGGGGUCGUCGGUUCGAUCCCGAUCAGCUCCACCAGUCAGGUAACGGAUAAGUAGAAGGCAGAAGCAAGCGGAAGCGUUUGCUCCUGGCUUUUAGCCGGACCUUCGGGCAGCGAUGUCUGGAGUCGUUCUUUAACAAUACGGAAGAAGUAAAGCGUCUUGCUCGGGAGAGCGGAGCUACGCGCGAGCGUGGAUUCGAAGAACGGGCGAGACUGGGUUAGAUUGUAUCGAGCCUGCUUGCUCUUAGUCGGAGUAAGCGGGAGUGCGCAAACACCUGUAAUGCGAGGCGAGGUAGUGCGUAGCGUUAUGGGGUCAAGCGACUAAGUGCAUGUGGUGGAUGCCUUGGCGAUCACAGGCGAUGAAGGACGUGGCAACCUGCGAAAAGCUCCGGGGAGCUGGUAAACGAGCAUUGAUCCGGAGAUGU
RNAcentral lists this small RNA (1181 nucleotides) under uncultured beta proteobacterium. Its description in RNAcentral is "bacterial SSU rRNA". The stretch from base 1 to 465 matches the Rfam family "Bacterial small subunit ribosomal RNA", at positions 1064 to 1533 of the family's 1533-position model. Lineage: Bacteria; Pseudomonadati; Pseudomonadota; Betaproteobacteria. The record is from RNAcentral.